GUGCCAGCCGCCGCGGUAAUACAGAGGCCCCGAGCGUUAAUCGGAAUCACUGGGCUUAAAGGGUGCGUAGGCGGGUCAGUAAGCGCUUUGUGAAAUCCCACAGCUCAACUGUGGAACCGCAGGGCGAACUGCUGAUCUUGAGGAAGCUAGAGGCUGGUAGAACGAUAGGUGGAGCGGUGGAAUGCGUAGAGAUCUAUCGGAAUGCCGAAAGUGAAGACAGCCAGCUGGGGCUUUCCUGACGCUAAAGCACGAAAGCGUGGGGAGCAAACCGGAUUAGAAACCCCCGUAGUCC
RNAcentral lists this ribosomal RNA (292 nucleotides) under uncultured bacterium. RNAcentral describes it as "partial 16S ribosomal RNA". It matches the Rfam family "Bacterial small subunit ribosomal RNA", at positions 505 to 796 of the family's 1533-position model. The record is from RNAcentral.